Molecule: ribosomal RNA, 852 nt
Filed under: uncultured bacterium
Lineage: Bacteria
Description: bacterial SSU rRNA
Rfam family: Bacterial small subunit ribosomal RNA
Source: RNAcentral
CAAGUCGAACGAGGCCCAUCCAGUAGCAAUACUGGGGAAGGCCUAGUGGCGAACGGGUGAGUAACACGUGAGAAACCUGCCCUGGUCUCCGGGAUAACAGUCGGAAACAACUGCUAAUACCGGAUGCCGUCGGAGCCUCGCAUGGGGCGCUGACGAAAGGGUCCACUGGACCAGGAGGGUCUCGCGACCUAUCAGCUUGUUGGUGGGGUAACGGCCUACCAAGGCAUCGACGGGUAGCUGGUCUGAGAGGAUGAUCAGCCACACUGGGACUGAGACACGGCCCAGACUCCUACGGGAGGCAGCAGUGGGGAAUCUUGCGCAAUGGGCGAAAGCCUGACGCAGCAACGCCGCGUGCGGGAUGAAGGCCUUCGGGUUGUAAACCGCUUUCAGAAGGAACGAAACUGACGGUACUUUCAGAAGAAGGUGCGGCCAACUACGUGCCAGCAGCCGCGGUGACACGUAGGCACCAAGCGUUGUCCGGAUUUAUUGGGCGUAAAGAGCUCGUAGGCGGUUCGAUAAGUCGGGUGUGAAAUCUUUGGGCUUAACCCAAAGCGUGCAUUCGAUACUGUCGUGACUAGAGUACGGUAGGGGAGUGGGGAAUUCCUAGUGUAGCGGUGAAAUGCGCAGAUAUUAGGAGGAACACCGGUGGCGAAGGCGCCACUCUGGGCCGAAACUGACGCUGAGGAGCGAGAGCGUGGGUAGCAAACAGGAUUAGAUACCCUGGUAGUCCACGCCGUAAACGUUGGGCACUAGGUGUGGGUCUCAACCAACGGGAUCCGCGCCGUCGCUAACGCAUUAAGUGCCCCGCCUGGGGAGUACGGCCGCAAGGUUAAAACUCAAAGGAAUUGACGG